RNAcentral lists this ribosomal RNA (478 nucleotides) under uncultured bacterium. RNAcentral describes it as "partial 16S ribosomal RNA". It matches the Rfam family "Bacterial small subunit ribosomal RNA", at positions 28 to 523 of the family's 1533-position model. The record is from RNAcentral.
GACGAACGCUGGCGGCGUGCUUAACACAUGCAAGUCGAGCGAUGAAACUCCUUCGGGAGUGGAUUAGCGGCGGACGGGUGAGUAACACGUGGGUAACCUGCCUCAUAGAGGGGAAUAGCCUUUCGAAAGGAAGAUUAAUACCGCAUAAGAUUGUAGCUUCGCAUGAAGUAGCAAUUAAAGGAGUAAUCCGCUAUGAGAUGGACCCGCGUCGCAUUAGCUAGUUGGUGAGGUAACGGCUCACCAAGGCGACGAUGCGUAGCCGACCUGAGAGGGUGAUCGGCCACAUUGGGACUGAGACACGGCCCAGACUCCCACGGGAGGCAGCAGUGGGGAAUAUUGCACAAUGGGGGAAACCCUGAUGCAGCAACGCCGCGUGAGUGAUGACGGUCUUCGGAUUGUAAAGCUCUGUCUUCAGGGACGAUAAUGACGGUACCUGAGGAGGAAGCCACGGCUAACUACGUGCCAGCAGCCGCGGUAA